Molecule: transfer RNA, 98 nt
Rfam family: tRNA
About the family: Transfer RNA (tRNA) molecules are approximately 80 nucleotides in length.
GGACAGUUGGCCGAGCGGUUAUGGCGCUAGUUUCAGGAUGACCUCCCCUCAUUAAAUACUAGUUCGAAAGAGCGAGGGUUCGAAUCCCUCACUGUUCA